CCAAGGUUUCCUGCGCAACGCUAAUCGACGCAGGGUUAGUCGGUACCUAAGGCGAGGCCGAAAGGCGUAGUCGAUGGAAAGCAGGUUAAUAUUCCUGCACCAGUUGUAACUGCGAUGGGGUGACGGAGAAGGCUAGAUCAGCUGACGGUUGGAAGUGUCAGUUUAAGCGUGUAGGGAGUGGACUUAGGCAAAUCCGGGUUCAUAAUUCUGAGACGUGACGACGAGAUGUUCUUCGGAACAACGAAGUGAUUAAUGCCAUGCUUCCAAGAAAAACCUCUAAGCUUCAGGUUACAAGUGGCCGUACCCCAAACCGACACAGGUGGAUGGGAUGAGAAUUCUAAGGCGCUUGAGAGAACUCGGCUGAAGGAACUAGGCAAAAUGAUACCGUAACUUCGGGAGAAGGUAUGC
This 408-nucleotide small RNA is filed under the name uncultured bacterium. RNAcentral's name for it is "bacterial LSU rRNA". It matches the Rfam family "Bacterial large subunit ribosomal RNA", at positions 1345 to 1751 of the family's 2925-position model. The record is from RNAcentral.